ACCCCGAGCCCCCGAAGCCCAGGGCACGCCUCCCGCAUCAACCCCCCACAAAACCCCUCGAAACCCAGGCGAGAGGCGCCGCGCCGUGGUGGAAUCGACCGGCUGCUUUUCUCUCGGAGCCCGCAGCUCCUCCUCGUUCCAAGGGCCGCCGCGCUGCUCCCCCCCACAUCACCAACCCACCAACCCCUAGUCGCCCCAGCCCGCCAUGGCCGAGCGCCUCGCCGCCGCCACCGCGGCCACCCUCCGAGCCUCGGCCGCCGCCCCGUCCGCCCGCCGCGCGGCGCGGGCCAGCCGCGCCUUUUUCCCGAACCCGUCGGCCUCGCCAGCUCGCGCGGGCGUCGCCCUCCGCGCCGCGCCCUCCCGGCUCCCGCAGAAGGCGAGGGCGGUGAGGUGCUCGGCGGCGGCUGCGACGGCGGCGUCCGACGCAACGCAGCUGAAGGCCGCCCGCGAGGGCAUCAGGGAGCUUCUCGGGACGACUCAUUGCCACCCCGUCCUGGUCCGCCUGGGAUGGCAUGAUUCUGGUACAUAUGACAAGAAUAUUGAGGAGUGGCCACAACGAGGUGGAGCUAAUGGAAGCUUAAGAUUUGAUGUUGAACUGAAACAUGGAGCCAAUGCUGGCCUGAUAAAUGCUCUAAAGCUUAUCCAACCAAUUAAGGACAAGUACCCGGGCAUUACUUAUGCGGAUUUAUUUCAGUUGGCAAGUGCUACAGCAAUUGAGGAAGCUGGUGGCCCAAAGAUUCCAAUGAAAUAUGGACGGGUUGAUGUUACAGGACCUGAGCAGUGCCCACCUGAGGGGAAGCUUCCUGAUGCUGGCCCAAGUUCACCUGCUGACCACUUGAGGGAGGUAUUCUACAGAAUGGGCCUUGAUGACAAGGACAUUGUUGUCUUGUCUGGAGCACAUACACUUGGAAGGUCCAGGCCUGAACGGAGUGGCUGGGGAAAACCAGAGACAAAAUAUACCAAAAAUGGUCCUGGUGCACCUGGUGGGCAGUCAUGGACAGCUGAGUGGUUGAAAUUUGAUAACAGUUACUUCAAGGAGAUUAAAGAGAAAAGAGAUCAGGAUCUUCUGGUCCUACCUACAGAUGCUGCUUUAUUUGAGGACCCAGCAUUCAAGGUCUAUGCAGAGAAAUAUGCAGCGGACCAAGAUGCAUUCUUUAAAGACUACGCUGAGGCUCAUGCUAAACUGAGCAAUCUGGGUGCAAAGUUCAAUCCUCCACAGGGAAUCUCUCUGGAUGAUUAGUGCUGCACCUAGCCCCGCAAAGCAGGCAAAUACUCUCGUACAAAAGGUGUCUAUUCCUCCUGCCUUCAAAUAUGAUCAAAGACAAAGAGAAACACAUACGAUUUAUUGCUCAUCGUACAAGAUGGAUCCGUCCCCAGCUUUUUUAUAAUUGAAGAUUGGCUCUUUCUAUUUAUCCCGACUUCGGAAGCGAGCUUGCGAAUAAAUGGAAUAAAACAGACACGUCAUGAAUUUCAGAGCCAUUGUGUGAUCCUCCAGAUGGAGCUAUCUGAUCUGAUGUUCCAUUUCUCUUGCA
RNA transcript from Panicum virgatum (switchgrass), 1532 nucleotides. It is a transcript of the gene named probable L-ascorbate peroxidase 7, chloroplastic, with no coding region annotated. The record is from RefSeq and is a predicted model, not a curated record. Lineage: Eukaryota; Viridiplantae; Streptophyta; Magnoliopsida; Poales; Poaceae. The transcript is spliced from 12 exons.